AUGGAGACGGACUGCCUGGAGAUUGUGAAUCUCUGGAACGAUCGCCACAACACUCGCUCGAUUGUGGCUCCUAUUUUGGUAGAGAUUGGAGAGCUUACUAUGUCGUUUGAUUUUUUAAUUCAACAUGUAAGUAGGACAGCUAAUCUCCCGGCUCACUUAUGUGCGAAGCGUGCCUGCUUGCUUAUGGUGACUGAGAGUUGGUUGGACUUAGAACCCUUGUUCCUGGUCACGAGCCUGUUGGCGGAUGAUCGUAGGAGCUCCUUUGUUUGA
This 270-nucleotide ribosomal RNA is filed under the name Triticum aestivum (bread wheat). RNAcentral describes it as "partial small subunit ribosomal RNA". The record is from RNAcentral. Lineage: Eukaryota; Viridiplantae; Streptophyta; Magnoliopsida; Poales; Poaceae.